RNAcentral lists this ribosomal RNA (498 nucleotides) under uncultured bacterium. RNAcentral's name for it is "bacterial SSU rRNA". It matches the Rfam family "Bacterial small subunit ribosomal RNA", at positions 28 to 511 of the family's 1533-position model. The record is from RNAcentral.
GAUGAACGCUAGCUACAGGCUUAACACAUGCAAGUCGCGGGGUAACAUCUGGGAGAGCUUGCUCUUCCAGGAUGACGACCGGCGCACGGGUGAGUAACGCGUAUCCAACCUGGCCCAUACCACGGGAUAGCCCGUCGAAAGGCGGAUUAAUACCGUAUGCUGUCAUUAAGAGGCAUUUUUUGAUGACGAAAGGACUGGCGGUAUGGGAUGGGGAUGCGUCUGAUUAGCUUGUUGGCGGGGUAACGGCCCACCAAGGCAACGAUCAGUAGGGGUUCUGAGAGGAAGGUCCCCCCACAUUGGAACUGAGACACGGUCCAAACUCCUACGGGAGGCAGCAGUGAGGAAUAUUGGUCAAUGGACGAGAGUCUGAACCAGCCAAGUAGCGUGCAGGAUGACGGCCCUAUGGGUUGUAAACUGCUUUUAUAAGGGAAUAAAGUGAGCCUCGUGUAGGCUUUUUGCAUGUACCUUAUGAAUAAGGACCGGCUAAUUCCGUGCCAG